Non-coding RNA from Salmo salar (Atlantic salmon), 59 nucleotides. Lineage: Eukaryota; Metazoa; Chordata; Actinopteri; Salmoniformes; Salmonidae. The record is from Rfam.
UGGCUCAGUUGGUAGAGCAUGGUGUUUGCAACGCCAGGGUUGUGGGUUCGAUUUCCCAC